AUUUAUGAUGACCUUUCCAAAAUAAAGCCAAUACUAUCCAGUACUUCAGUGCCGAGCGCGGAUGCGCGAGGCUACCUUGUAAUCUAAUAAAUCUUACCGUUAAAUAAUAAAUCUUUAGAAAUGCGUAAUACAGCAGAAGCUCACCAUGGGCAAUGUUUCAGAGACCGAGCCUCUAAUGCAACGGCAUUCAGCUGUCCCGAGCAACAAACUUCUAUUAAUGCGUCGAAUUUCCCCUUGUUCCAUAGUUUGACGCCUCGAAGCACUCACUGUAGGGCCCGAAUGGCUCAAAAUAUAUUCGUCAUUUCUGUCAUUAUUCCUGUCUUCUGAUGUGAAAGACUGCAAAUCGCAACGUGUACACUUGCAGAUUCUUACAGCCAAACGAAGCCAGGAACAUGGUUUAUGACGAUUCACUGUGAUACCUGAUGGCAACUUUGCAGUAUGUUGGAAAUAAUUCCAAAAGAACUAGUUUUUCCAGAACCCGCUCAUACCGAAGCAAUCGUGACGCUGACAUUAAAGAAUACCGGAACAAAACGGACAGCCUAUCGAAUAAUGACGUCUGCGCCGCACCGGUUUUCCGUGCGUCCAGUGUUCGGAUUAUUGAAAAGUCAUGGUAUCGCAUCGAUUCUCAUACAGUAUCGCCCGGCUGAUCAUUCCGUCAUAUACCCAGAUUACAAAUUCCGAAUUAAGGCAGCUCCUGCGGACCAUCAGUAUAGUGCAAAUGAUCCCAGUAAUUUUUGGAAUACUAUCCCGCCUGACCAAAUCCUGAUUACCACUAUCAGAUGCACUUUUCCCCAACCGUCUCACCAUGCAUUCUCUGCCAAUAAAAUGCCGUUAGCCACCGUUGCCAUCCUGCCACUGGAAGAAAGUGCAACGGCCAAGUUAGAGGUUUGAGUAGGAAAAUCGCGCCACGAUCAUGCUCCUGAUAACUUUCACCAAGAUUACAGACGCGCUCUCGAAGAUAUUGUCCUGCUGCGAGAAGAGAACGUUCGGUUGCGGGUUCGACAUACAGAAGAUCUGCAUCGAGUCAGAAGAUCGUUGGCACGCUUGCAUACUGCUUCUGGAGACCCUGUAAUCAAUGCAUUUCGUAGCAUUCUUCCGGGUCCUGCUGUUCCAGUCGUCUUUUUCCCUUAUUCAUUGUGGCAGCAACUAGUAACGUGGUUCACCACUUUGCGUGUAGGGGCGUUUACUGUUUUAGUGUUGUUUUUUUGUGCCGGCAUAUUAACUGGAAGUGCUCUUUAUAAAUAAGAAAACAAUGUUUUGAAACAACGCUACAGUGCAGUUGCUGUUAGAAGUCGUGCCGACUGUAGUCGACCGCACAGUUUCUUAAGGAAUCACAUAGCGUACUAGGAACUGCCCCAGCCCUUAUGUUAACGCCCGAAUACAGCGCUCAAGCUUUAAAACUGCCGGCUGCGAGUCGUUUGCUCAAAAAUUAAUUAAGUACAGUACUUCUAUUUAAAUGAAUGAUUAAAUGUAUUUAAUCACAGUUAAUUGUGGGUGCACAUCCCUCCCAUUUUGGGUUUAUGGCCGUUUGUCGGCUUUCACUGGUUCGUUGGGUGGCUUUGUUUCCUCAGAGUCGGAGAUUCUGAGAUGUUUCCUGUGGC
RNA transcript from Paramacrobiotus metropolitanus, 1601 nucleotides. It is a transcript of the gene named vesicle-associated membrane protein-associated protein A-like, with no coding region annotated. The record is from RefSeq and is a predicted model, not a curated record. NCBI's taxonomy places the organism in Eukaryota, Metazoa, Tardigrada, Eutardigrada, Parachela, Macrobiotidae. The transcript has 5 exons.